AGCUCCAAUAGCAUAUAUUAAUGUUGUUGCAGUUAAAAGCUCGUAGUUGGAUUUCUGCAGGAGUGACAAUGUCCGCCCGUGUGCGUGCGCAGCGGCGCCCCUGCAUCCUUCGGUUACCUUCGCUCGGCAUUCACUUGCCGGCGGUAGGCUCCGAAUAUUUACCUUGAGAAAAUUAGAGUGUUUCAGGCAGGCUUAGCCGGAAUACAUUAGCAUGGAAUAAUAGAAUAUGACUACAGGCUCUUUGUGGUUCGAGGGACUGGAGUAAUGAUUAAUAGGGAUAGUUGGGGGCAUUAG
This 294-nucleotide ribosomal RNA is filed under the name uncultured eukaryote. Its description in RNAcentral is "partial small subunit ribosomal RNA". It matches the Rfam family "Eukaryotic small subunit ribosomal RNA", at positions 587 to 894 of the family's 1831-position model. The record is from RNAcentral.